GGGGAAUAUUGGGCAAUGGGGGAAACCCUGACCCAGCAACGCCGCGUGAAGGAAGAAGGCUUUCGGGUUGUAAACUUCUUUUAUGUGGGACGAAGAAGUGACGGUACCACAUGAAUAAGCCACGGCUAACUACGUGCCAGCAGCCGCGGUAAUACGUAGGUGGCGAGCGUUGUCCGGAUUUACUGGGUGUAAAGGGCGCGUAGGCGGGUAGGCAAGUCAGGUGUGAAAUCUAUGGGCUCAACCCAUAAACUGCACUUGAAACUGUUUAUCUUGAGUGAUGGAGAGGCAAGCGGAAUUCCUAGUGUAGCGGUGAAAUGCGUAGAUAUUAGGAGGAACACCAGUGGCGAAGGCGGCUUGCUGGACAUUAACUGACGCUGAGGCGCGAAAGCGUGGGGAGCAAAC
Molecule: ribosomal RNA, 402 nt
Filed under: uncultured bacterium
Lineage: Bacteria
Description: bacterial SSU rRNA
Rfam family: Bacterial small subunit ribosomal RNA
Source: RNAcentral